UACGUAGGGUGCGAGCGUUGUCCGGAAUUAUUGGGCGUAAAGAGCUCGUAGGCGGUGUGUUACGUCGGCCGUGAAAACCUGCAGCUUAACUGUGGGCGUGCGGUCGAUACGGGCAUCACUGGAGUUCGGCAGGGGAGACUGGAAUUCCUGGUGUAGCGGUGAAAUGCGCAGAUAUCAGGAGGAACACCGGUGGCGAAGGCGGGAUCCUGGGCCAGUACUGACGCUGAGGAGCGAAAGCGUGGGGAGCAAACAGG
RNAcentral lists this ribosomal RNA (254 nucleotides) under uncultured bacterium. Its description in RNAcentral is "partial 16S ribosomal RNA". It matches the Rfam family "Bacterial small subunit ribosomal RNA", at positions 524 to 776 of the family's 1533-position model. The record is from RNAcentral.